CUUUUUUGGUAACUAACCAUUGCAGGUCUCCACCGUCACUUCGUCGCUUCACUCUCCUUGCCACUUCUGUUGCGAAAUCGCUCAAAAGGGUUGCAGAAAUGUAGAUUCGACGCUUGAUUAUGCAAAACUAUGUUAAAUCUCCAAGUAAUGACAAACUUCAAGGAUUCUUGAAUUCUUGAAUCGUUCAAAAGAGUCGCAGAUAUGUAGAUUCGACACUUGAUUAUACUGAAAAACUAGGUUAAAUUUCUUUGCUGUUGACAAACUUCAAGGAUUCCUGAAUUCAAGAAUUCAAGAGUUUUAAGUCCAAGAAUACGGCGACAUCAAGAGAUAUUCAAGAAAUUGUUUCCAAGAUUUCAUCAGAUAAGGCCAAAGCUCGGGAAGUAUUUUAUGCUUUAUUUAUUGGGGUUUAUGAUUCUUCUGUUGUCUUCGUUCUUUAUUGUCUUACGUUUGUUUCGAAAUUUCUUUAAGAAGGAAUAAAGGUGUUGAAUAAUUGGUUGGAGGGGGAAAGAUCGUUUGGCUUCUGCAAGAUUUUAAGCCAGAACAUGCAAAUCGUUAACCAAACGAGAUUCCUCACCGCAAGUGUGAACACAGCAACCAAAGUUUGCCUCAGUUGAAUAACAUAACAAUCUUCAAAUACUGAAAUACUAAGCAUGGAUAUGUUUACUGAGGUUCAAGACAUUCUUGGUUAUGUAUCUAUUUAUUGUUUUUAGAAUUUCAUGCGCAAUCGAAUGGUUUUGACCAACUAUGCCUGUGAAUGAUUGCAGGUGUUGGUAGAAAGAUGCAAAUAUUUGGAAGAAAGCAAUGUGUGGGAAUUUGUUUAAAUACAUAUAAGCUGCCGACACAGCUAUAACAUGGCCAUUCCUUGUAACAUUGCUCAUACAAUGUAUCGCCUUAGAGAUGUCUACAUGCAAAAGGUGAACUCCAAAGUUGCUUUCUCCAAAAAUCCUUCGAAUUGCCAUCCAAUGAGCAUAGAGGAUGCAAAGUUUUCGGGACUCGACAUUCAAAGAGAAUGCUGAAGAAAGCUCCCAUUUUGUUUAUAAACUGGGCUUGUCUAAGCUGCAGUGUUGCCUCUUGAUGAAUGGCCUCAUCUUUGAGUCCAGUGAGGAUUUCUCUAAAAUGUGUAGAUUUUGUCUAUCUAUUUAUGCUAUACCUCAGAGAUUUCCUGGAACAGUGUUUGGCAUAUUGUUGUGAUUGAUGAUGAAGGAACUUUAUUGCUUGAAACAAUGGGUAUAAGGUGCACACAAUGAAAGGUUCUUCUACCCCUUGUGCAAUCUGAUUUGUGAAUUUCAAAUUCGAGGAACAAUAGAAGUGCUAAGUGCCAUUUGCUACAUACAUAUGUACUUCUAUACGUAAAUAUACAUUCUUACGCAUGUAUAUCAACCCAAUAUAAAUACAGGGCUGUGGUUUGACAUCAAUUUUUACUUUAGAGGUGCCACUAUUCCAAACCUCUGUCCUAUCCCCAGAAAAGAUGGAAAAACAAACUGCUCCAGAUAGAACCAUAUUCUUUGGUCAGGAAGUCAGUCUCAUGAAAGUAAGUUACCAGCAUUAUACUUUUGAGGAUUAUUGGGAACCCUGUGAAUCGUCCAUGCUUGGCUCUUUGGUCACGAAGUCAUAGUCUCAUAGAAGGAAGAUACCAGCAAUAGAGCUUUCAAGGAUUAUUGGGAACACCUGUGAAUUGUCCCUGCCUGGUAUUAUUUUAUAUGAUCAUCUGACAGCUUAACCACCCAAGGCUAAAGUUCAGUGUGGAAAGUACUUCAUGGCAAGACACCUAUUCCUAUAUUACUCAAUCAACGGGGAUGCAAUUUUAACUCUCAAUGCCCCUUUUGUCAUUCUGCAAAUAUGUCUCAGGAUCAUCUAUUCCUGUCAUGCUGACGCAUACACUUUGGAAAUCAGUUGGAUUCCAUUUUAUGCGCAUUUCUUCUUCUUCUUCUCUCCAUGACUGGAUCUCAUCUAUUUUGGCAUUAAGGAUUCCCAAAAGAUUGAAGGACUGGUUAUCAGCCCCAAUGACAAGUGUUAUCUGGAAUUUAUGGAUUGCUUAUCUUGAUGCUACAUUAGAAGUUCCAUUCCAACCAUUCAGUCAUUGGCUUAUCAAUGCAACCAAUUUACUCAAGAUUUUUAUCGACCUCAUUGUGCAUCCAACUCAGUUUCUGUGCUGAAUAUUAAAUGGGAUCCUCCAUCAUCUAGUUUUUUGAAGUUUAACGUGGAUGGCUCCUCCCUUGGGUGUCCUGGAUCUGCUGGUUUUGGUGGAGAGUACUGAGGGAUGACAAAGGUGCCUUUCUUUUGGGGUUUGCUGGUUCUGCAGGUAUUUCUUAUGCCUUCGUCGCUGAAGCCUUGACGGUUCGCCAAGCUUUUCUGUUGUUGUUAAUCGACGUUUUCGUUCCAUCAUUGUUGAGAGUGAUAACUUAAUGGUGAUCAAUCUUCGUAAGCAUCAUUCAACGAAUGUUCCCUGGAGAAUCAUUCAGAUUUUAGAGGAUUGUCUUCACCUUGUUUCUCAUUUCGACAGCGUAAUGUUUCAGCACUGUCAUCGCGAAGGAAAUUUUGUUGCAGAUUCUCUAGCUACUUUUGGUCGUAAUUCUACUGAUUUGGUUGUUUGGGAGUCCUCUCCCCCUGCUUUUAUUUCGCCUCUCCUUUUCAAAGAUCGUGAUGGGUACACUCGACAUCGCUUUGUUUCUUCUAGAGCUGCUGAUGCUCUUUUAGUAUAA
Macadamia integrifolia is the source of this 2702-nucleotide long non-coding RNA. RefSeq lists it as uncharacterized. Lineage: Eukaryota; Viridiplantae; Streptophyta; Magnoliopsida; Proteales; Proteaceae. The transcript has 5 exons. The record is from RefSeq and is a predicted model, not a curated record.